This 412-nucleotide unclassified non-coding RNA is filed under the name soil metagenome. RNAcentral describes it as "partial contains 5.8S ribosomal RNA, internal transcribed spacer 2, and large subunit ribosomal RNA". The stretch from base 1 to 122 matches the Rfam family "5.8S ribosomal RNA", at positions 35 to 154 of the family's 154-position model. The record is from RNAcentral.
GAUGAAGAACGUAGCGAAAUGCGAUACUUGGUGUGAAUUGCAGAAUCCCGUGAACCAUCGAGUCUUUGAACGCAAGUUGCGCCCGAAGCCGUCAGGCCGAGGGCACGCCUGCCUGGGCGUCACACGCCGUUGCCCCCCCGCGCCCCGCACCCAACUCUUUGGGAGCGACCGCGGGGCGGGCUGAUGAUGGCCUCCCGUGCGCUCCGCCGCGCGGUUGGCCCAAAUACCGAGCCCCCGGCGACGUGCGCCACGACGAUCGGUGGUUGAGAGACCUCUGUCGCAAGUCGUGCGCGCCCGUCGCGUCACGCGGGCUCGCAUAGCGCCUCGCGCCGCACCCGGUGCGGAGCUUUCAACGCGACCCCAGGUCAGGCGGGGUUACCCGCUGAAUUUAAGCGUAUCAAUAAGCGGAGGA